This 733-nucleotide long non-coding RNA is filed under the name Manihot esculenta (cassava). Its description in RNAcentral is "long non-coding RNA (MESC_LNC011492)". Lineage: Eukaryota; Viridiplantae; Streptophyta; Magnoliopsida; Malpighiales; Euphorbiaceae. The record is from RNAcentral.
UUCUCACAAGGUGAUAUGUUCCAAAUAUUUGAUUUACAAGAAGAAAUUUACAAUUUAAAAUAAGGUGAUUUAUUUGUUACCGAUUAUUUUACUCAUUGAUAGAGCAUAUUUUAGUUCAAUUUAUCAUGAUAUUCUUGAUGUCUAUUUACACCAUUUUUGCCUAAUUUUAUGGUUUUAAUCAUGUUUUGCAGAUAUCAGGUGUAAAGAGACAAUCUGGAGAAAAUGCUCUUAAAACUGUCAAAAAGUGCCAAAUAUGGAAAGUACCAAAAAAAUGAAAGUUUUCAAAUAAGGAAAGUGCAGAAACAAAAGCAAAUAAGGAAAGCUCAGUCAGAAGAUUAUUUAAAAUUCAAAUCGCAUAUAUUUCUUUCCUUGUUCAAAGAUGUGCACACACUGCAGCAGUCAUAUCUUCCUAUUUAGGCAGCAAGAUUUCAUGAAGACACACUUGCCUCUUCUGCGUUCAGCAUUCAAAAUUCAAACGAAGGCUCCACCUAAAAAGGAAAGAUUGGAUAGAUUCACUUUCCCUUCUGCAUUCAAUGACCGUGCGCCACCUUCCUUCUGCAGUCCAUUCCGCGCGCCACUUUCCAUCUGAAGAGCAAGCGCACGCCUCUUUCCUUCUGAAUAAUUUUGGAACGCGAAUAUUUCCUUUUCAAACACAACUUGGGCAGCAAGCACCUCUUGGGCAGCAAGGGCAGCAUGUACGGACCUAGGGCAACACUUUCAACUAUAAAAAGAC